Molecule: ribosomal RNA, 539 nt
Filed under: uncultured bacterium
Lineage: Bacteria
Description: partial 16S ribosomal RNA
Rfam family: Bacterial small subunit ribosomal RNA
Source: RNAcentral
UGGGGAAUUUUGGACAAUGGGCGAAAGCCUGAUCCAGCAAUGCCGCGUGUGUGAAGAAGGCCUUCGGGUUGUAAAGCACUUUUGUCCGGAAAGAAAUCCUUGGCUCUAAUACAGUCGGGGGAUGACGGUACCGGAAGAAUAAGCACCGGCUAACUACGUGCCAGCAGCCGCGGUAAUACGUAGGGUGCAAGCGUUAAUCGGAAUUACUGGGCGUAAAGCGUGCGCAGGCGGUUUGCUAAGACCGAUGUGAAAUCCCCGGGCUCAACCUGGGAACUGCAUUGGUGACUGGCAGGCUAGAGUAUGGCAGAGGGGGGUAGAAUUCCACGUGUAGCAGUGAAAUGCGUAGAGAUGUGGAGGAAUACCGAUGGCGAAGGCAGCCCCCUGGGCCAAUACUGACGCUCAUGCACGAAAGCGUGGGGAGCAAAACAGGAUUAGAUACCCUGGUAGUCCACGCCUAAACGAUGUCAACUAGUUGUUGGGGAUUCAUUUCCUUAGUAACGUAGCUAACGCGUGAAGUUGACCGCCUGGGGAGUACGGUC